Pogoniulus pusillus (Red-fronted tinkerbird) is the source of this 2138-nucleotide long non-coding RNA. RefSeq lists it as uncharacterized. NCBI's taxonomy places the organism in Eukaryota, Metazoa, Chordata, Aves, Piciformes, Lybiidae. The transcript is spliced from 3 exons. The record is from RefSeq and is a predicted model, not a curated record.
CCAGGGUGCGUGAGGGGCUGGGUUGGUCCUGAAUCCUGCUCUCGAACCUGGCUCCCUCAACGGACUGCAGCCUCAGGACUCCUGGGGCAUACCCUGGGGCGACCAGCUAAGGUAGCAGGAAAGUGGCUCAUUGGCUCUGACCUGGCUGCUGGCCCCAGCACAAGGAGCCUGAGUGUGGGGACAGCUGAGCUUCCCUGAAAGCUGCUGGACAUUGACCUGGGAGAUGACGGGUGAGAAGAAACAUCUGGGACCCAGGGGAGGCUGAAUGUAUUUCAAUUGUGACCUUGGAAGCUGCUCAAUUCAGAGCAAGCCUGGAACAAUAGCCUGCAAGGGUGCAGCAAGGGGGGCACGCUGCUAUUAUUUACCAGACAACAAGGAUUUAGCUAAGCUUCGUGGAAUUUCGCAGUUACUGACACACAUCAGACGCGGGCAGAGCAAUGAUGGAAAUAAUGUGAAGGCAAACUGCUCCGUUCCAGCCAAAAAGACUAAUGGAAGUAGUAAAAAUAGUAAAGACAUGAAAGCAGAAACCACUGAAAUAAAUAUCUGAGAGGGGAACUCGCCGUAAAGCUUUGCUUCAGCCGCAGAUACACCUAGCUGAGUGUCAUCUGGGGUUAAUUUGCAAGGUGACAGAUGUCUCAAAUGGGCAAAUGCUGGAGAAGAAAGCUGGCAUCCCUGGGCCAGGUCUGCUUGUGGAACCGAGCUGCCCUAGGUGUCCUUGGAGCAGCACUGACUUGCUGCAGCUGUGGCUUUGGCGCUCGUGUUCAAGGGCGAUUAUGCAAUGCUACACACCUCUGGGUUGUCAGUCUUUGGCAACGGAAAAAGCCUCACCCCCCUCCUGGCAGCACAAAUAUGAUGUUGGUUGACUGACCCUAUACUGCUUGAUCUGCUUCACCCACUUCAGCUGAUCUUGUCUCAUUUCUGGCUCUACCUUUGAACCCAACUUUCCCUUGGUCGGCUGUAACCUCUCAGUAGGCUUCUCAGUGCUCCUGCCAGUCACCAUGCCCAGGCCUCUGUGGUCCCCCCAGGCUGCUUGUAAACACUCACCCAUGCUAUUCUGAGAUGUGACUCAACUAUUUCAUUGCUGUGGCUGGAAGAGUCUCAAGGACGUUCCUGGUUGUUGUAGAACCCACACACAAGGACAGAGCUGCAAAAUGUCCCCCACACCCUUUGACUCUCAAUUUGCAGGAGGUAAAUGGCUGCUGUUACCAUUUUGUAGAUAAAACCUACUGGGUGGCAGAUAUUAAGUGUUUGGCUCAAGGUCACAGCAUGUAUCUUUGAAGUCACUUGAUAAACACUUCACCCUCAGCAAAGGAUGUGCUUUGGGCUGUGAUCUUAUCCUAUAACACAACCUGAGAUAUAUAUUCCUCCUCUUUCAUUCUAGUGCAGCGGUAUAGUAUAUGUUGCUCACACUUAAUAAGUGGAAGAUCAUUAACUUUGCCUUCUUUAUUCCUAAUGAGUUCAUUGCUGCAGAAGCAGGAGUGAAAUAUGAGCUACUACCACAAUUUCUUUGCAAUUUAGUGUUAAUUAAUGUCCACUUCUUACACAGUGUUAACAAUAACAUCCCUAACCUUCCAGAGGCCGCUGUGGGAAAUUCUUUGUUCUUUUCUGUCUGGCAAGAAGUGAGAUUUGUUUUUUAACCUUUCAUUUAAAGCUUGCCUCUUAAGGGUUUCAAAGUAGUGCAGGAGAGUUGAACACAGCAUCCUUGUUGUCCAACUCUGCCACGUAAUUUGGAUUCCAGUCAAUCUACCUGCAGGGUAAGUAGAGUUUCUUCGUGUCUGCCAGUCAGUGCAGGGAAAGGCACCUCAUUUCCACAGAGACCAUGAUCAGCUUUUUGUUAGAACAGGUCUGUCAGCCCUCAUUCCACUUCUCCCAGCAGAACUUCAGUUAAACACAUGGUGUCACUUGCUACCACUGAGACUCUUUGCCUCCUUUUGCGUGGGCUGGACUCCUGGGUCUGUAAGGUGCUUUUUGACCUCUGUCCAUUGCAAUAACAAUGCACAGGUUUUGGUUUUUUGGUUUUUUUUUUUGGUUUUUUUUUUUUUUUUGGGUCUGUUUUCUGGUUUUUGGAUCUCUGGAGGACAAGGCAUGCAAUAUGGCCAAACUGGCCAGCCAGUGGUAAAAAUAUAUGCUGAAAUCAA